Molecule: long non-coding RNA, 744 nt
Filed under: Anas platyrhynchos platyrhynchos (common mallard)
Lineage: Eukaryota; Metazoa; Chordata; Aves; Anseriformes; Anatidae
Description: lncRNA (ENSAPLG00000017163.1)
Source: RNAcentral
GUUGCUUUACACGGUAUCUUUAUGUUAGUAAAACUAAAGUAAAACUCAGGCUUCCUCAAUCAACCAUUCACUUGUGCUUUUACACUCUAGAGAGAAUCUCUUAUGUUCACCUGUCCAUAUUUAAGAGAUGAACUUUUGCUGGGUCCUGCUGUACUUGGUUUUUCCAGAUCGGCUUAGCUAGUCCAGCAAGGACUUCACAUCACCUUCACAUAACCUAACCUAACUUAACUCUCCCACUUUUCAACUGGGAAGGACCUUUCACGAGGAAAUGCCUCAUGAUUUGUUUAUAAAUAUUCUACCUUCAGCAACAGUGCAGUUAGAGGAGCUUAUUUGUGCAUUUCUCUUAUACAGAAGAAGAUAAAUGUGUUACCUUUCAACAGAUCUUGGAUCUUGGCUCCACUUUGAGUAAAGGAGUGUCCCUAACAUCUGUUAUCUGUGCAGGACUUGGCAGAGCUCGGAUUAUCUGUAAAGCUGCGAGCCCUUCAGCAGAUGGCUGCGCACCGACCAACUUUAAAAUUCAUCCUCCCGUCCAUUUAGAUGAAUUUGCAUCGCCGUGCCAGCACCCCGAAAAUUAUUUAUGCCUCUGGUCUUCACUGCUCGGGACUGCAGCAGUUCGUGCUGUCAUCUGGGCUUUUCCCGUGAAAAGGCUAAAGGGACCCCACAAGAUUAGCAAGCGGCUUCGUCUUUUUCUGUCUGCUUUUCGGGACUUCGGUAACACGAUCUCCAUAUAAGAAGGAAAUUUAA